Molecule: long non-coding RNA, 422 nt
Filed under: Trifolium pratense (red clover)
Lineage: Eukaryota; Viridiplantae; Streptophyta; Magnoliopsida; Fabales; Fabaceae
Description: long non-coding RNA (TPRA_LNC000206)
Source: RNAcentral
UCCCAAGAGAGUAUCAACACCAGCAUACUUGCAAGAUUUGACAUAAACAACACCUUGAACAGCUAUAAAGCUUCUAGGAAUAGGACUAGGAUGCAAUGGUGGAUGAGCAGGAACAGGGGGAUGCAAAGGUGAGUGAGCUGGAACAGGGGGGUGCAGAGGUGAGUGAGCUGGAACAGGGGGAUGCACAGGUGGAUGUGUUGGAACAGCAGGAGUGUGAACAGGAGCAGGAGCAGGUGGGUGGUGAUGGUGNNNNNNNNNNNNNNGGGGUAGAAUGGUAAGGAGGGUGUGAAGGAGUAGGAGUGUGAGAAACAGGGGAAGGAGCAGGGGAUGGUGUGUGAUUGUGGUGGUGGUGAUGGUGGUGAGGGGCGUUAGAUGGUGGAUGAAGUGGUGAUUUAGUUGGUGGGUGAAGUGGAGAUGGUGAG